This 597-nucleotide ribosomal RNA is filed under the name Corymorpha glacialis. RNAcentral describes it as "partial 16S ribosomal RNA". It matches the Rfam family "Bacterial large subunit ribosomal RNA", at positions 1829 to 2597 of the family's 2925-position model. Lineage: Eukaryota; Metazoa; Cnidaria; Hydrozoa; Anthoathecata; Corymorphidae. The record is from RNAcentral.
AGCUCUUAAUUUUUUAUUGAAAGUGAUACCUGCCCAGUGAUAAAUAAAUUAAAUUAUAAUAAUUUUGAUCUUAUUAAACGGAUGCGGUAACUCUAACUGUAAUAAAGUAGCAUAAUUAGUUGCCAUUUAAUUGAUGGAGAGUAUGAAUGGUCAAACGAGCGUCUCACUGUUUUAAAUAAAAAUUUUUUGAAAUUAAAAUAAUAGUGAAGAUUCUAUUUAAUAUCGUAAGACGAAAAGACCCUAUAGAGCUUUACUAUAUUUUCUUAUUAAAAUUAAUAAUAUUUUUAUUAACAAUAUUGAGAAAUUGGUAGUUUAGUUGGGGCGACUGUCUUUUAUAGUUAACAAAGAUAAGCAAAAUUAAUACUUAAUUUAUUGUAUAAUUAAUUAAUUUAACAAUUAUUAACAUAGGCUAUAAUGACCCGUUAAAGUAAUUAAAAAUAUUUAACGAUUAAUUGAUAAAAGCUACCUUAGGGAUAACAGGAUAAUUUUGUUUUAGAGUUCAUAUUAAUUACAAAGUUUGUCACCUCUAUGUUGAAUUAAGAUAUCCUAGUGAUGCAGAUGUUACUAAGGGUAGGUCUGUUCGACCUUUAAAAUCUU